CCGGGGUCCCUCGCGUUCAGCGUGGAGUCUCGGGCCCCGGGUGGCUGGGGUCCCUCGCGUUCAGGGAGUGGAGUCUCGGGCCCCACAUGCACCAGCAGAGUUGCUGGAGACUCAGGCCCAGUUGUGGGGCCACAGACAGAGGAGAGGGCACUGGAUCCCAGACGGCAGGGCCCACAGCGUUCACACACCCAGGACGCAGGGUUGGGGCCAGGGAGAGCGGCAGCACCUGCAAGGGGCCGCCUCCUGGCUCACUGGUUCCCUUCCCCAUGUCUCCCCUGGGCAGCAAGACAAAUGGGGGAAGUUGCUACCAAAUACUCAUGGGCUCGUCAGGUAGAAGCAGCAAGACAUGAGGAAGAAAGCAGCUGGGGCUGAGCUCAGAGCAGGAGAAAUGACAAGGGAAGGGGUCUGGGUUCAAGGUGGUAUUUCCUAACCCCCUAAAAAGGGCAUCGAAUAGGCCAUGGGGUGGGGUGGAGAGGGCGCCACAGGAGGCGGAAGGGAGCGGGACGGCCCCUCCACGGAGGGAAGGCCCUGCAGAGCUGGUGACAGUGCUGGCCUGAAUCCGCCCGCCCCGCCGCCCUGGAGCAAGCCCGCCUCUCGGUGCCUGCUUUGCUCCAGGCUGUCUGCCUCCCUCCACGAGGCAGAGGAAGCCAGCAGAGGCCUGGGCGGACACCCCUGAGUGCCUGGGCCUGCAGAGAGGGCUGGAUGGCAGUGCCACAUGAGGGCACUGGGGCAGAAGGGCUGACCCCGGCCUGGGACCCCUGCUUGUCCCUGGGUGCCGAGAGGGGUUGCUGCAGAGUGACGACUCGAACACAGCACAAAUCACCACUUUAUUUCUAAGGGAAAGCCUGCAUUCUCACACACACCGACUCGGGGGUUUCGAACACACAUGGUUUGUACAUCUGCCCACUUAGGUUGCUCUGCAAAAUGAGGAAGAAGCCGCAUCGUGCUCACAAAUAAUACACAUUCCACACAGCAGCACAGCCUUUUGGGCGUCUUUGGAGUUUUGGGUGAAGCUUCUGGGGUUGCAGAGCCAUCCCCAACCCAGGCCUGGCCUGGUCCCUGCCCUUGCGUCAGCGUGGCCUGGGAGGCACACACAUCUUUACAGGCCCGGAAACCCCAAAGGCUGGGAGGUUUUUGUCCUCUGCUGAAUCCGGAUUUGAGACAGGCUUCACAAAAGCAGCUUUGGGCCGAGCUCCAGGCCUAGCCCUGAGGACCCCUGGCCUCCUGGAGCCCCUCCAGAGGCUGCCCGGCCAGUCUCUCGAUUCUCCAGGCACUGGGGGUUGGGAAGGGGUGGGCUCAGGGACACAAGGACCAGGGAGAGUGUGACGGGGAGGUUUCUCGCUGUUCUUCCGAGCCGGUGCAGCCUCUCUGAAGGUCACUGUGGAGGGCGCCCCAAGGCCUGAAGUGCCUUAGGGAGAGGUCACGCCCCACAGACCUGGAAGCUCUGCCCCAGUUUCCCCCAGUCUGGGCGGCUGGGCUGUGCUCCCCGCAGUCUUUACUGGCAGCACCCUGCCCUGCUGAUCCCAGAAGCAGCUGAUUGAGGGGACUGGGAAGACCCCAUGGCCUCCAGCAGGUCUCAGAAUGACUCCUGUAGUGGUUAGGACUAGGGCACUGGCCGCACCCUCAGGCCUGGGUGGGAGAUGUGGGCUGGGAGUAAACCCAGGAAUUUAGGACUAGCAGCAGCCAUCAGGGGCUGUGGUGCAGGAGCAGCCAUCAGGGCAGCACUGGGAGGCAAAGGCCCUGAGGGAGACCAGCUGGUGCCGUCCCCUCCCAAUUCCGCUCAGAUGGGCACCCUCGCCUUCCUGGGACAUAAACCCCUGGGGCUGACGUGGUGGGGAGCAGACAAUUUGGCAGCAGACGGAUGGACUAAUAACGUCUCCAGUGACGCAGGGCCCAGUCCCUGCCCUGAAGGCUGCUCAGCCCCUCCGGCCCACGUCCCGCCUCGCGAUGCCUCCUCUGUGCCAGGGCCAGGGCCUCUGCUUCGGUGCCUUCCCCCUAGCGGGCGACUGUUCGCUGGCUUUCAAAGGUGGCACUUCUCAGCUGUCAGAGCUGCAGUGACAGCCUUGGGGAGGCUGAGGGGGCCCUGUCAAGCAGGGGACACUAGUGGGGACAGGUGUGUGGCCCCUGGCUGCAGGGCCUCCUCCACCCUCCCCACUCAGGACUAUAAAUACUCAUGAUGCAAAUGGUAAAUGCUCCCAGACAUUUAUCAUAAAUUACAGGUGGAUAAUUGUGAGUCUUUAGGCCAUGAGGCCUCUUGGGGAAUAUUUCCGUUCUUUAAAAAAAAGGAGACACCAAGCCAACGGGGCAGGACGGCCGUUCAGCCUGGCUUGUGACUGGAAGCUCGCUGGGUGCAGCAGACUGGCGUGGGAGAGGCCAGGGUGCUGGGUGAGUCGGAGGCUGGGCCAGGGAGCACCGUGACCAGUGGUGGUCACUGAGGAAGUGAAGGAUGACUUGGGCCCAGGUCGGAAGCAGCCAGAGCCAGAUGAGGGGCACCUGGCCCCUUCUGCGAGGUUGGAGCAUUAUGCCAGGAACAGGUGUUCCCUGUAUACUUUUUUAAGUGAGUAAAGAGAACAGUGAUUUUCAAACAAGGGUGUGUUGGGGAGGGUGUGGGGGGCUCUUCCGUGCACCUGUUCCCUGCCUCUGCAUGAGCCCGGCACAAAGUCCUAGCUGGAGGGCCGUGGAAGCCUGGGGCCGGCACUGUGCAAAGGCUGGGUAAGCAUGCUGUCCCUCAGAGCGUCCUCAGUGGUGUAGCCAAGAGCCAGGAAGGGCAUAGCCUCCUCCCUCCUCCCUGCUGGAAGCCAGAGACCUACCACAAAGACAGACCUGCUGCCUCCACCCGUUCUCUCUCUGCCUUGCCUCUGCAACUGGUCUUUCCUCCAAGCAAACCUUUUCUGCCCGCUUCACCAUUCACUCUGCAAAUGACCGGGCCUCCAGAUCCCGUCCAGCCGCAGGAUCGACUGGGUCCGUGUCAGCGAGAGAGAUGGGGCAUUCCAGUUGUCCUGCAUGUCCUUUCAACCUUCUCCUUCCCUCUCUUCUGGAAACUGAGCAAACACCAGGCACUGGGACAACUUCUAAUUUAAUAUUAUAAUAAUAAAAGCCACGGUGGCACAGAACCAUGAACUGCAUUUUACAUUCCUAACUGAACUUCCUGCUGGGGCUGUUGUCAGGAUAAACAUGCAGAAUCAAUGGCUGCAGUUGCCAAAAUAAAUGGAGCAUGCCCACCUCUGCCGCGGCAUCGCUGCAGACCUGCCCGGCCCAGCCCGCGCCCGACCUGGGCGUCACUUGGAGGAGCUGGUCACCACACAGAAGGCAAGAUUAAAAUAAUAACACUGACAAGCGAGCUCUAAUGAGGAAAGACUCCUGGAAGGAGGCAAAUUUAAUUUUCUUUUCCUCUUUUGACACCUUUCUUCCCUGUCCAAAGGGAGGUUCUUAAUUGAAGUCUGUGAGGGGGACGCUCUGUCUCUUUAUUACCAAGUGGCCUCAGUACACAGAACGCUCGCUUUUUAUUGUAGAUUAUACCUUCCUUUUCCCCCUUGGCUCUGGAAAGGAUAAGUGAUUACAAUUUUGUUAUCUUCUAAAUUAAAAAGAAGGUGAAGUUGACUGGGCUGGAGCCGUCUGCACAGCAGUUUGACAACUGGGGUGACAGCAUAACUACUGGGCAAUUUUUUGCACAAUUCAAAAGCUUUUUUUCUCUUUUUUGCCAAGGAAUCAGUCUAACAAACACAUCCUACCCUUGCUGAAAAUAAUUUCUUUUCCCAACUCUUCUAGGAAUAAAGCACUUUUAAUGUAUUUGUCAGGAAUCGACACUUCAUUUAAUAAGGUUUAAAAAGUGACAAUUUAAAGAGCAAUUGAGAAGAGUCCCACAUCCAUCAUGGCUCGCGCUUCUAACUAAAAUCAAAAGAAUGAAAGCAGAAAAAGCACUGAGAAAAUGGCAAAACGUGUGAGGGAGAGACGGGGGGCGGGGGGCUGUUCAGAGCUGCUUCAAGUCCAACAGUGCUUGCAGCGGCUCCUGUGACACUGCCCUGCUGGGUGCUGGCUGCAGGGACACAGCUGCUGUGAGGCACACGCCCUACCCGCCCGACACUCUCAGUCCACCCCAAGUGACCCUCCCCAGAGCUGCUGGAAGGUGACUUUGAAGGCUUUUUCCCCCAAAAGCUCCAAUGAAGUUGCCUUUCUACUCUCAAAAAAAAAAAAAAAAA
This 4199-nucleotide long non-coding RNA is filed under the name Macaca fascicularis (crab-eating macaque). RNAcentral's name for it is "lncRNA (ENSMFAG00000053398.1)". Lineage: Eukaryota; Metazoa; Chordata; Mammalia; Primates; Cercopithecidae. The record is from RNAcentral.